UACCUUUGUGGUAUUCCGGCAUAAGCAACCCCGGGCUAUCCCAAGGAAUUCCAGCUAGACCCCCAAUUUCAUCCAAUAGCGAUGUCAUUUCAAUACCCCCAAAGCGGAAGACAGACCGUUCACUAUCCCAAAACAAGUAACAGCUUCCACAAUCCUAUUAUCUGGCCUAACUUCCAGGAGUGAAGGAAGAUUUCCUAAGUGCUUGCGGACAAGAACCUGAUCACUACCAUGCAGAUUAUCCCACCAGCUUAGCAACUUCGGGUGAAUGUUUGAUACCAUACCGAAUCUGGGCACCUCGUGCCUCAUUUCCUGCAAAAUAGAGAGUUAGGCCCUUAACCCCACCGAACUCGACUAUUCAAAUCAAUAAUUAGCAAGAGGCAUUUAGUUCUCCAAAUCAAUGCAUAUAACGUGAGUGUCUGUUUGGGUUCGAGGAAACACGAUGGACUUUUGGCUUAGGCUGUCCUAAUGAGUCAUUAUGCGGACACCAUAACUGACUCGUCUAAGUUUGACCAUGAUGCAUGAAUAUUUAAACAGAGUAAGGCUUCUAUUUGAAGUGCUAGACAAGGUACCUUUGAGCGGACAACUCAAGAAGGAAAGGUACGGAACCGUCGACUACACUGUUGAUCGAGUGGUUUUACCGAAAAUAUGCCUUUGCCAAAUUUAGGGGGUUUGUAAUAAUGGAAGAGCGCAACCACUCAUUAUAAGCGUUGUUUUACCGCAAAUAUGCCUUUGCCAAAUUUAAGGGGUUUGUAAUAAUAGAAGAGCGCAACCACUCAUUAUAAGCGUUGCUAUAGGAUUUGUUUGGCACGAGUGGAAAAUAUUUAAGGGGUUUAUAAAUAUUGGAACAACGCAAUCACUCAUUAUAAACGUUGCUAUAGGAUUUGUUUGGCACGAGCGGAAAAUGAUUUUGAAGGAUGCAAUUACAACAAUGAAAUAAGUACAUGUAUUUUCACGUUCAUACAAUAAUGAUUACAAUAAAUGCUCAGAAUUUAAGACGGAAUUGAAAUAAUGUGAGGUAAUAAAGCAGUAAAACUUCAUAAAGAAAAAGAACGACAUGAAGAAACAAGUUAGUAAUUGUGAAGAAAUGAUUAAAUCAAUAAAUAAAGGUAGCAAAGAAAGAAAUAAAGUCAAGAAACACGUAAUGGUAAAAGCCUAAAAAGAAAUCCCCAGCAGAGUCGCCAUGCUGUCGACGCCCCCUUUUCCUCUAAAGCGAAAUCGGGUUUUAUGACAUUAUGGACAAAACAACUCUUAUUCCCAUUUUGGAGUUGGGUCGUGGAAUCUGAAAGUCGCCACCUAAUGAUUAUAGUGCAUUAGGACACUUUAAGAAGAGAGUAUUUUGAGAAGAAAACCAAAGUUCGGGUAAGGGCUUGAGAUUAUCUCGAGGGGAAGGUGUUAGGCACCCCUCAAGAUCCACUAGUAUGGUUCCCGGCCGUCUUAAUUAUGACUUUAUAAAAAAAAUGAAGCAAUUAAACAAGUUUCACACAUAUAACAUUCAUACAACUUGAAACGGCUUCAAAGAAGAAGGAAGGACGUAAAUUUAAAAUAAAAGAGAGGAUUGAUUUGGAAAAGCAUUACUAACACAACUUGAAAGCUAAAAAAAGGGAAGGACAUAAGUUUGAAAUAAGAGAGAGGAUUAGUUUGAAAAGAAUUAAGAAAGAAUUUAAAUAAAGCACAUAAAAGAAAGAAGGGUCCUAGGUUUAACUAUAAUAUGGAUCAUUCGAUGCAAUAUCCCGCACAUAUUCCCAAAGAAGGGUCGCUUUAUGAUAUUAUCGCAUCGUCAUCAUCUCCAUAUUCUACCCUUCCCACCCCGUUGAGGUAUUUGAGUGCGUGAAUUGGCUACGAAUGCUUAUUGCGUGCUAUUACCCGUUCCAUCCUAUAUAUCCUAAAGGGAAUUUAGGAUCACUAUUCCUAUGAGGUAGGAACUAGGUGGAACCCUUAAGUUCAAAGGUUAAGAUGUUAGGCGACAUACAAAACAAAUAAGACUACAUAUAAUGGAAUCAUGUAAGCAUGUAAAGGCUCAAAUAUCCCUUCAUGAACAAACACGUAUUUAGCACGUCUCAAACACAUUCAAGGUCUAAGGAAGGGAGAAAUUUUAGAAGCUGGAGCAUAAGUUUAAAAACAGAAACUAGAGAAUUUGCGUAAGGGAGUCGUAAAAACGUUUAGAACUUGAAAAAGACAGUAGCAAUUUUAGGAAUUUGAAAAUAUUCGUGGAACAUAUGGCAAAGGGAAUUUUUGGACAGAUAGUAUUUUUUAAGACUGCAAAAGUAUAAAUAAAAGCAAUAAAUCAUGUUAACUUAGAAAUACAGUUUGGAAAAUUGCAGAGUUUACAAUACUCAAAUAGUUCUUUACGAAAAUAGUAGUCCAGUUAUGGUCUGGGGAAAGAAGAGUAAUUCAGUAAAAGUAGUUGUCCAGGCAGUUAAAAAAAGAAGCUUUUGUAUAAAAAUCAGGGGGUUCAGAGAUAAAUUAAUUUGGACCGUGGUGGAAUAAUUUAAAUACGACUUAAGGCGAUUAAUCCGUUUUUUUACGGCCAAGGCUUGCCUAGGCGUUAUUUAAACCGUAAAGAAAAGUGGACAUGCAUAUUAGUUUCCUAUUUAAAAGGAGUUUAUUAACUAGUGUUUUUACUAAAUUAGCAAGGUAUUCAACAGUUUCAAACAAAGGUCCUAAAUGCAGGAUAUCUAAUGCACACAAAAGUCCUAAAACAUGGUAUCUAAAAGCAAUGGUAAUAAUAUUGAUUAUUAACUGAUUGUGAUUAUGAAAAUGUAUAGAAUAACAUACUGAGGAUGAGAGACCUAAGAACAGGAUUUCUACGUGUAAGAUGUGUGUCCUAAACAUGAUUUCUAUUGCGCAAAUAGGUAAGUAAAAUCCUAUAAACAUGUUUUCUGCCCAUUCCCCUUAACUAAGCAUGCAUAACCCUCCUAAUUUCACUAUAAACCCCAUUAUUCUUUACAAGUUAUCACAUACCAAGUAAUUAAAAAAUACAACAGUGAUAAAAAGGGAAGAAACUAUUCUAUAGGGAGCCUACAGUCAGGCCCAAGAUCUCUAACCUCACUUCUUUCGAGUUUCACAGCCAUUACAAAGGCUUGGGUGCGGCAAAGUUCCCUAAGGGUUCGUUUGAACCCCUGGCCAAUACCAAGCACCCAAAACAUCAUAAUCAGACAAGUGCAAGUGUGGAAUUUCCAGCCUUGUGCAUCAAAGUUCAGUGGGUGCUCAGGGCUCCCAAGGCAAUGCUUACACUAAGGGGGCAUAACCUAAUUUCUAAGAUUAGUGAGGUUGUGAUAGAGUUUGAAAAAGGUUGAGUUGAAAACAGUUGAGAGACAGUUUGAGAAAAAACAGUAAGAGAAAAGUGAAAAGAGUUCUUCUGAAAUCCCUUUAGGCUAGCCAGUUUUGAAAACAAAGAGUCACACAAACAAGGGCAAGGGAAAGGGAACAAAUAAUUCAUAAGUAGGGAAACUAUUCACAUAGGUGUAAUACAUCAAAGAGAAGUAAUCAAACAUGCUUCAAAUAAAGUGUCCAGUUCUUACUGCACCAGACUCCAAACAGGGGCAACCUCAGGAAGAGGUUUAAGUGGCCAAACAGGUCCUGAAUACAUGCUAGUUGUGAAAAAGAACGAGGAAAACAUACAGGGGGAUAGGGAAGGUGGUAAUGAUCAUGAUGAGUCAAGCUAGGCAUACUAAUUAACAUAUGUGAAUGCUAGUGUCAAUAAGAACAGCAGGGAAUGAGGAAAAACAUACAGGGGCAUAGGGAAGGGGGUAAUGAUCAUGCUAAGUCAAGCUAGGCAUAAUAAUUAACAUAAAAGCAUGCUAGUGACAAUAAGAACAACAUAACCAUAAGUAAAAGCACACAAGAAACAAGAGGAAAUGCAGAACUGCUAGGAGCAUAUUGUUUUGGAGGUUGUACCUUAAGGAGGUGACAUACCAGUUGAAGCUAAUGCAACACACUAGUAGUGAGCAAUAGUGCACAAAGGAAUAAGGUGGUCAAAGUGAGUGAGCAGCGAAGCGAGUAACAGUGUGCAGCAGCAGUACGAGAAUAGCAGCAGCAACAAACCCAAAUAAACAAACAAUGGAGCCCAAUAAUGUAGAAAUAGUUUACCAGGCUACUCAAUCUUGGCUUUCAGCCAAUUGAGUGUUCAAAUAAGAGAAUGAGAGAGUAUAGUAACAACAGAGAAAGAGAGAAUUCAAAGAGUAUGAAAUUGUGAGAGAUAUGCAGUGUGUGUUGGUGUGUUUCAAAGAGAAGGGGGAGGAGUAUUUAUAGUACUGGAAAAUGAGUUCAUAAAACAAGCACCAAUCCUUAAUUAAGGAACUAGCAUCAAUUAAAAUUAAAUUAGUAUAAGGACUCCCCUUUAAUUAAGGAUCUAAGACGAAAGGUAACAAGCAGAGAUUUUUAAAGGAAAGAAAUCAAUCAAACUAUUGUAUUUAUCCUGGUAAGAAUAGUAAAGCAUAUAAUAUGCAAUAGGGUUAGACACAUGGCAAUUCAAUUAAGGAAAAUAUAUGAUGAAGAUUCAAAUGACUGUUUAUGCACAAAUAUGGUAAGGGAUACAAAAAAUUAACUUUGAAAAUUAUUCCCAGAAUCACGGACAAAACAAAAUAUGGAGAACUUCUCACAAGUAAGGAAGUAAUUCAAAAUCGGUGUAAAACCUUUAAGGAAAAACUCAUACGAAAUAGGGAUCCAGAGAGAUGCAUAGAAUCAGUGGAAUAUCACAUGAGCGAUGAACAAUUAGACCUAUAAAAUCUAAUAGACUCGAAAAUCAGAGAACCUUAAGCAAGUAAGCAUGGAAGCACAAAGGGUCGGAACCCUAACAAGAAAAAUUAAAGCAUGGAACCCAGGUUAACAAUGAAACAAAACAAACAAGUAAAACAAACAAACACAAACGAACAUAUAGUACUCAGAAAGAGCAGAAGAAGCGAUUUUGAAGAAGGGGGUCAGAAACCCUAAUUUGAAAAGAGAAGAAACCAUCUGAAAUUUGAAAUAAUCGGAAACACUAAGUAAGAAACAAAGUAGAAAACAAAAUCAAGAUGAGAAUCUUCAAAAUAAUCGGAAACACUAAGUAAGAAAUAGAGUAGAAAACAAAAUCAAACUAAGAAUUGUUUUAAAAGAGCAGAGAUUAAAGAGGUUCGAUUAGAGAAAUUAGGGUUUGCAAACAAAUUAGGGAAAACGAAGAACCUGGCCGUGAAACUCGUAUACAAUGCAAUAGAAGGCAUCAUCGGAC
Molecule: long non-coding RNA, 5206 nt
Filed under: Nicotiana benthamiana
Lineage: Eukaryota; Viridiplantae; Streptophyta; Magnoliopsida; Solanales; Solanaceae
Description: long non-coding RNA (NBEN_LNC028960)
Source: RNAcentral